UCCAGGCAAAUCCGGAUAAUCAAGGCUGAGGUGUGAUGACGAGGCACUACGGUGCUGAAGUAACAAAUGCCCUGCUUCCAGGAAAAGCCUCUAAGCAUCAGGUAACAUCAAAUCGUACCCCAAACCGACACAGGUGGUCAGGUAGAGAAUACCAAGGCGCUUGAGAGAACUCGGGUGAAGGAACUAGGCAAAAUGGUGCCGUAACUUCGGGAGAAGGCACGCUGGUGUGUAGGUGAAGUCCCUGCGGAUGGAGCUGAGACCAGUCGAAGAUACCAGCUGGCUGCAACUGUUUAUUAAAAACACAGCACUGUGCAAACACGAAAGUGGACGUAUACGGUGUGACGCCUGCCCGGUGCCGGAAGGUUAAUUGAUGGGGUUAUCCGUAAGGAGAAGCUCUUGAUCGAAGCCCCGGUAAACGGCGGCCGUAACUAUAACGGUCCUAAGGUAGCGAAAUUCCUUGUCGGGUAAGUUCCGACCUGCACGAAUGGCGUAAUGAUGGCCAGGCUGUCUCCACCCGAGACUCAGUGAAAUUGAACUCGCUGUGAAGAUGCAGUGUACCCGCGGCAAGACGGAAAGACCCCGUGAACCUUUACUAUAGCUUGACACUGAACAUUGAGCCUUGAUGUGUAGGAUAGGUGGGAGGCUUUGAAGCGUGGACGCCAGUCUGCGUGGAGCCAACCUUGAAAUACCACCCUUUAAUGUUUGAUGUUCUAACGUUGGCCCCUUACCGGGGUUGCGGACAGUGUCUGGUGGGUAGUUUGACUGGGGCGGUCUCCUCCCAAAGCGUAACGGAGGAGCACGAAGGUUAGCUAAUCCUGGUCGGACAUCAGGAGGUUAGUGCAAUGGCAUAAGCUAGCUUGACUGCGAGCGUGACGGCGCGAGCAGGUGCGAAAGCAGGUCAUAGUGAUCCGGUGGUUCUGAAUGGAAGGGCCAUCGCUCAACGGAUAAAAGGUACUCCGGGGAUAACAGGCUGAUACCGCCCAAGAGUUCAUAUCGACGGCGGUGUUUGGCACCUCGAUGUCGGCUCAUCACAUCCUGGGGCUGAAGUAGGUCCCAAGGGUAUGGCUGUUCGCCAUUUAAAGUGGUACGCGAGCUGGGUUUAGAACGUCGUGAGACAGUUCGGUCCCUAUCUGCCGUGGGCGCUGGAGAAUUGAGGGGGGCUGCUCCUAGUACGAGAGGACCGGAGUGGACGCAUCACUGGUGUUCGGGUUGUCAUGCCAAUGGCACUGCCCGGUAGCUAAAUGCGGAAGAGAUAAGUGCUGAAAGCAUCUAAGCACGAAACUUGCCCCGAGAUGAGUUCUCCCUGAGACUAUAAGUCUCCUGAAGGAACGUUAAAGACGAUGACGUUGAUAGGCCGGGUGUGUAAGCGCAGCGAUGCGUUGAGCUAACCGGUACUAAUGAACCGUGAGGCUUAACCUU
RNAcentral lists this ribosomal RNA (1419 nucleotides) under Klebsiella pneumoniae. Its description in RNAcentral is "bacterial LSU rRNA". It matches the Rfam family "Bacterial large subunit ribosomal RNA", at positions 1531 to 2925 of the family's 2925-position model. Lineage: Bacteria; Pseudomonadati; Pseudomonadota; Gammaproteobacteria; Enterobacterales; Enterobacteriaceae. The record is from RNAcentral.